GUGCUCGCUUUGGCAGCAUAUAUGCUAAAACUAGAAUGAUACAGAGAUUAGCAAGGCCCCUGUGAAAGGAUGGUGUGCAAGAUUUGUGAAGCAUUCCCUAUUUUU
This 105-nucleotide small nuclear RNA is filed under the name Microcebus murinus (gray mouse lemur). The record is from RNAcentral. Lineage: Eukaryota; Metazoa; Chordata; Mammalia; Primates; Cheirogaleidae.